RNAcentral lists this transfer RNA (73 nucleotides) under Dendronephthya gigantea. RNAcentral describes it as "tRNA-Asn". It matches the Rfam family "tRNA". Rfam says of the family: Transfer RNA (tRNA) molecules are approximately 80 nucleotides in length. The record is from RNAcentral. Lineage: Eukaryota; Metazoa; Cnidaria; Anthozoa; Malacalcyonacea; Nephtheidae.
GUUUCUGUGGCGCAAUCGGUUAGCGCGUUCGGCUGUUAACCGAAAGGUUGAUGGUUCAAAUCCAUCCAGAACG